AAUAGAUACCCAGGUAGUCCACGCCGUAAACGAUGAGUGCUAAGUGUUAGAGGGUUUCCGCCCUUUAGUGCUGAAGUUAACGCAUUAAGCACUCCGCCUGGGGAGUACGGCCGCAAGGCUGAAACUCAAAGGAAUUGACGGGGGCCCGCACAAGCGGUGGAGCAUGUGGUUUAAUUCGAAGCAACGCGAAGAACCUUACCAGGUCUUGACAUCCUCUGACAACCCUAGAGAUAGGGCUUCUCCUUCGGGAGCAGAGUGACAGGUGGUGCAUGGUUGUCGUCAGCUCGUGUCGUGAGAUGUUGGGUUAAGUCCCGCAACGAGCGCAACCCUUGAUCUUAGUUGCCAGCAUUCAGUUGGGCACUCUAAGGUGACUGCCGGUGACAAACCGGAGGAAGGUGGGGAUGACGUCAAAUCACCAUGCCCCUUAUGACCUGGGCUACACACGUGCUACAAUGGAUGGUACAAAGGGCUGCAAGAUCGCGAGGUCAAGCCAAUCCCAUAAAACCAUUCUCAGUUCGGA
This 520-nucleotide ribosomal RNA is filed under the name uncultured bacterium. RNAcentral describes it as "bacterial SSU rRNA". It matches the Rfam family "Bacterial small subunit ribosomal RNA", at positions 777 to 1297 of the family's 1533-position model. The record is from RNAcentral.